CCUACGGGAGGCAGCAGUGGGGAAUUUUGGACAAUGGGCGCAAGCCUGAUCCAGCAAUGCCGCGUGAGUGAAGAAGGCCUUCGGGUUGUAAAGCUCUUUUGUCAGGGAAGAAACGGUUGGGGCUAAUAUCCUCAGCUAAUGACGGUACCUGAAGAAUAAGCACCGGCUAACUACGUGCCAGCAGCCGCGGUAAUACGUAGGGUGCAAGCGUUAAUCGGAAUUACUGGGCGUAAAGCGUGCGCAGGCGGUUUUGUAAGUCUGUCGUGAAAGCCCCGGGCUUAACCUGGGAAUUGCGAUGGAGACUGCAAGGCUUGAAUCUGGCAGAGGGGGGUAGAAUUCCACGUGUAGCAGUGAAAUGCGUAGAGAUGUGGAGGAACACCGAUGGCGAAGGCAGCCCCCUGGGUCAAGAUUGACGCUCAUGCACGAAAGCGUGGGGAGCAAACAGGAUUAGAUACCCUGGUAGUCCACGCCCUAAACGAUGUCUACUAGUUGUCGGGUCUUAAUUGACUUGGUAACGCAGCUAACGCGUGAAGUAGACCGCCUGGGGAGUAACGGUCGCAAGAUUAAAACUUCAAAGGGAAUUGACGGGCNGAGAGNGCCGACGGACGACGACGAGGGGAGGUUAGGAG
This 629-nucleotide ribosomal RNA is filed under the name uncultured bacterium. RNAcentral's name for it is "bacterial SSU rRNA". It matches the Rfam family "Bacterial small subunit ribosomal RNA", at positions 338 to 956 of the family's 1533-position model. The record is from RNAcentral.